CGGGACGGGUGGAGGUAACGACGUCGGGCGAACCUAGCCCUCGCACUGGGGGACGAACAGCCGAACGGACUGCUAAUACCGCAUAUGCCCGCAGCCCCGCAUGGGGCGGCGGGGGAAGCUCCGGCGGUGCAGGAUGGGCCCGCGUCUGAUUAGCUUGUUGGCGGGGCAACGGCCCACCAAGGCGACGAUCAGUAGCCGGCCUGAGAGGGUGGGCGGCCACAUUGGGACUGAGACACGGCCCAGACUCCUACGGAAGGCAGCAG
Molecule: ribosomal RNA, 263 nt
Filed under: uncultured bacterium
Lineage: Bacteria
Description: partial 16S ribosomal RNA
Rfam family: Bacterial small subunit ribosomal RNA
Source: RNAcentral